GCCAUUUUGAAAUUAAAUAAACAAACAAUAGUCAUCAAGCAGUCUGUGACAUCAUCAAAAGGCCCCCUGAAGACCAUGUGGUGAUUCAGCAAGAUGCCCACAAACAAAGAGAAAGUUUCUAGGCACUGGCAGAAAGUUAAUGCAGACCCAGUAGCUAGGGCAAUGCAUUUAGCAAGGAGACGAGAAAGCAACCAGAGAAGAAAGCAAGCUGCCUUGGCUGCAAAUCCUGAUCACCCGUCAAUCAGGAAUUUAUCAGAUGCUGCAGCUGAGAAGAGGCGAAAGCAAUGGCGGGAAAAUCAAAGAAAACACAGGGCAGAAGCU
Molecule: non-coding RNA, 321 nt
Organism: Misgurnus anguillicaudatus (oriental weatherfish)
Lineage: Eukaryota; Metazoa; Chordata; Actinopteri; Cypriniformes; Cobitidae
Source: RefSeq, a predicted model, not a curated record